ACCACAGCUAACACUCCUAAGUCACCCUAUAAAGCACAGCACAGUAAUGAGGUAGGGUCCCCCCUCCCGACUACAAUAAAACCACUGCAGGCAUUUGAGUGCUCAAACCCAGCUAUACAUACAGCUAUACAUACUUAAGAACAGCAGAGGGCAACCAUGACAAGCAGGAUCCACCAAUGUCUGGGACAACAACUGGUCUUGUUGCCAACCUGGUGAUGGAUGCUGAGAAAUAUCCUACAGAGAUAAAGCAACUGGCUAGAUAGAUUAGGGAGAACAGGUUAAUUAGAAGUUGUUUGGAUUUUAAAGGUGUGUAAGACUUUUGAAUUAGUAAUAAUCAAAUGCGGUGUUAAGUAAAAGGGAUAUAGUGACCCAUCUGUUCAUUAGGAUUCCCUGCUGUCAAAGGCAUCCUUCAUUUCCUUUGCUGAGCUUGGCAGUUGACAGGUGCUCACCAGCUAAACUUUUCCUCCCUGGACUGAUGCUGAAAUAGCUGCUAGGAGAAGACGGACAAGGGAGGAAAAAUGUGUGCUGUGUGGGCCAGAGAGUUGUUUUAGAGAUUAUGGCUGGCCUAGUGCACUGCUUGAAGAUGGGUCUCUGUCUGUGCUGCUGCUCUCACCCCUCUGCUUCAUGGUUUGCAGUCAGAGCAAUGAGUUCUCUCUACCUCUAUAGAGCAGGGCCAGGAGGAGGAAGUCUGCAUGAAUACGUGCUUACCAAGCUCCCUGCCUACAAGCCUGUGGGAAGAGUCCAGGGAGAGUGGUCCCAAGCUCCAAGAGGGGAUAGAGCCGCUAUGACCAUGCAAGUGGGAGGUUAGUCCUUGGGAAUAGCUCUCACAUGAUUUCAUUGUGGUAGUUUCUUUUCAGGACUCAGAGAGACUUGUAGUUUUGUGCAUACUUCCAUGCAGCACAGGAGUAUCACUCACUGUCUUCCAGGCUGUGCACUCAUAGGAUGCAGGUGUCUGUGCUCACAGCAGCUGGCGGUUUGCCUCUAGGGAAGCUGACUUGCCAUAAAAAGUAAGCACCAGAGAGCGUGAGAGAGGGAGCAGUCUCUCUGGGGUGUAGGCAUCACUCAGUACCUGUGAGUAUAAGUGGGGGUUGAUCCAGCAGUCACUUUGCAGAUGGGCUUGCUUCUGCUGUUUGGCUGGGUCGUGGCAUGGCCUAGCUCCUGCUCC
Molecule: long non-coding RNA, 1165 nt
Filed under: Dromaius novaehollandiae (emu)
Lineage: Eukaryota; Metazoa; Chordata; Aves; Casuariiformes; Dromaiidae
Description: lncRNA (ENSDNVG00000004963.1)
Source: RNAcentral